AUGAAGAUCCCUGUUCAUCUCCACCGGUGCCCCUGCUCAGGCGGGAUCUCCCCCGUGUGCACCUGCUCAGGUGGGAUCCCCCCCGUGUGCACCUGCUCAGGUGGGAUCUCCCCGUGUGCACCUGCUCAGGCGGGAUCUCCCCGUGUGCACCUGCUCAGGCGGGAUCUCCCCCAUGUGCACCUGCUCAGGCGGGAUCUCCCCGUGUGCACCUGCUCAGGCGGGAUCUCCCCCAUGUGCAUCUGCUCAGGCGGGAUCUCCCCGUGUGCACCUGCUCAGGCGGGAUCUCCCCGUGUGCACCUGCUCAGGCGGGAUCUCCCCCAUGUGCACCUGCUCAGGCGGGAUCUCCCCGUGUGCACCUGCUCAGGCGGGAUCUCCCCGUGUGCACCUGCUCAGGCGGGAUCUCCCCGUGUGCACCUGCUCAGGCGGGAUCUCCCCGUGUGCACCUGCUCAGGCGGGAUCUCCCCGUGUGCACCUGCUCAGGCGGGAUCUCCCCGUGUGCACCUGCUCAGGCGGGAUCUCCCCGUGUGCACCUGCUCAGGCGGGAUCUCCCCGUGUGCACCUGCUCAGGCGGGAUCUCCCCGUGUGCACCUGCUCAGGCGGGAUCUCCCCGUGUGCACCUGCUCAGGCGGGAUCUCCCCGUGUGCACCUGCUCAGGCGGGAUCUCCCCGUGUGCACCUGCUCAGGCGGGAUCUCCCCGUGUGCACCUGCUCAGGCGGGAUCUCCCCGUGUGCACCUGCUCAGGCGGGAUCUCCCCGUGUGCACCUGCUCAGGCGGGAUCUCCCCGUGUGCACCUGCUCAGGCGGGAUCUCCCCGUGUGCACCUGCUCAGGCGGGAUCUCCCCGUGUGCACCUGCUCAGGCGGGAUCUCCCCGUGUGCACCUGCUCAGGCGGGAUCUCCCCGUGUGCACCUGCUCAGGCGGGAUCUCCCCGUGUGCACCUGCUCAGGCGGGAUCUCCCCGUGUGCAUCUGCUCAGGCGGGAUCUCCCCGUGUGCAUCUGCUCAGGAGGGACCUCCCCGUGUGCACCUGCUCAGGCGGGAUCUCCCCGUGUGCAUGUGCUCAGGCGGGAUCUCCCCGUGUGCAUCUGCUCAGGCAGGAUCUCCCCCGGGUGCACUGCUCAGGCGGGAUCUCCCCCACGUGCACCUGCUCAGGUGGGAUCUUUACUGUGCACCUGGUCAGACUCCUGCACUAUCCUCAGCAUAA
This 1200-nucleotide long non-coding RNA is filed under the name Vulpes vulpes (red fox). Its description in RNAcentral is "lncRNA (ENSVVUG00000009309.1)". Lineage: Eukaryota; Metazoa; Chordata; Mammalia; Carnivora; Canidae. The record is from RNAcentral.